RNAcentral lists this ribosomal RNA (398 nucleotides) under Vairimorpha ceranae. RNAcentral describes it as "Nosema ceranae partial small subunit ribosomal RNA". It matches the Rfam family "Microsporidia small subunit ribosomal RNA", at positions 16 to 412 of the family's 1311-position model. The record is from RNAcentral. Lineage: Eukaryota; Fungi; Microsporidia; Nosematidae.
GCCUGACGUAGACGCUAUUCCCUAAGAUUAACCCAUGCAUGUUUUUGACAUUUGAAAAAUGGACUGCUCAGUAAUACUCACUUUAUUUUAUGUAAAUUUUUAAUUAACUACGUUAAAGUGUAGAUAAGAUGUUUACAGUAAGAGUGAGACCUAUCAGCUAGUUGUUAAGGUAAUGGCUUAACAAGGCUGUGACGGGUAACGGUAUUACUUUGUAAUAUUCCGGAGAAGGAGCCUGAGAGACGGCUACUAAGUCUAAGGAUUGCAGCAGGGGCGAAACUUGACCUAUGGAUUUUAUCUGAGGCAGUUAUGGGAAGUAAUAUUAUAUUGUUUCAUAUUUUAAAAGUAUAUGAGGUGAUUAAUUGGAGGGCAAAUCAAGUGCCAGCAGCCGCGGUAAUACA